AUGGCUUCUUCGAUCAUCAACAACAACGCAGUCCAGGGUGAGACUUUUCUCCCCGGACAGAUCUUCGUAUUCGGCGGCUUUGCACUGCGGACCAAUUCGCUUGGCCAUCUGGAGCAGAUCGAAAGCUACGCCCCUGGCCGUCAGGUCAGAUUUGGAAGUUUGAACUUCACGGCUGACAUCCGCGGAGACUUGAUCUUCGAUGGAUUCGAGCCACAGCCGAGCGCACCGCACUGUCACGAUGGGCAUGAUUUAGCUCUGCAGCCGGACAGUGCCCUGGAGGCCGCACACGAGCCCGCUCUGACCCUCGAUUCGGAGCCGGCUGCGCAGACCGAGGACGGGUGGCUAGACACCGCCUCGGGGGCUGCAACCUCUACGGCGAUGGAGCCGAAUACUGGCCUUGUUCCUUGUGAAGCUCGUGAGUCAGAGGUGCCGGACUCCGAACCUCUCGCGACCCCUCCAAUCGAAUCCGAUUGGGCGCCGAUCAUGGAGUUCACCGCUGCGGACAUCUUUCAACACGCACCUUUCGGCGACAUCUUGAGUUCGCUAAAGUAUCUCUCGUUAUCAGGAGAGCCCUGGCCGGACUGCGGUCAGGAUGGUUGGGGUACGGACGACGAAGAAAUUCAAAGCCCACCCACCACCAACUUAGUAGCCACUGUCGACGAUCUAACCGACAUGCUAGACUUCGACUCCGAAGACAUCGACGGUAUGGACGACGAUGCCGGAGACGACCAAGAACCAGCGCCUACUGGGCACUGGAAAGCCACCUCAUCAUAUGACAUAUACAUGGUGGAUAUCCCAAAAGAUGGGAAUGGCGAAGGAACAGCGGAGGAUGACCCCUCCAAGAAACAGCCCAAGCGCCGGCGUCAGCGGCGCCGCUCUAAAUCCCGCCAUAGCAAGAAUGGAGAUUCUGGCACCGGAGAUAAUAACACCCUAGACAGUGCCGAAGACAACCCCCUCCAGCAAGAUUCAGCACAGGAGGACGGAGAAGCCAGCCCUCAUGAGAGAGCGGCAGACGAAGAGGUAGAGGAUGACAAUUACAUGCCUCCCUCCGGAGACGAGGCAAGCCUCGACGACGACGAAUUUGUCGUGCCCGAGGAUCCCGUCGAACAAGAGCGUUUUAAACGCAGGCUUAUGGCCACGACAAACAGCCUCAAGAAAAAGCAGCAAUAG
This 1170-nucleotide ribosomal RNA is filed under the name Triticum aestivum (bread wheat). RNAcentral describes it as "partial small subunit ribosomal RNA". Lineage: Eukaryota; Viridiplantae; Streptophyta; Magnoliopsida; Poales; Poaceae. The record is from RNAcentral.